GUUUCAGCAGCCGCGGUAAUACGGGGGGGGCAAGCGUUGUUCGGAAUUACUGGGCGUAAAGGGCUCGUAGGCGGCCAACUAAGUCGGAUGUGAAAUCCCCAGGCUCAACCUGGGAACUGCAUCCGAUACUGGAUGGCUUGAAUUCGGGAGAGGGAUGCAGAAUUCCAGGUGUAGCGGUGAAAUGCGUAGAUAUCUGGAGGAAUACCGGUGGCGAAGGCGGCAUCCUGGACCGAGAUUGACGCUGAUGAGCGAAAGCUAGGGGAGCAAACGGGAUUAGAAACCCUCGUAGUCC
RNAcentral lists this ribosomal RNA (292 nucleotides) under uncultured bacterium. RNAcentral describes it as "partial 16S ribosomal RNA". It matches the Rfam family "Bacterial small subunit ribosomal RNA", at positions 505 to 796 of the family's 1533-position model. The record is from RNAcentral.